UACGAAUUUCAGUCUGAUUGCAAAGCCU
Molecule: small RNA, 28 nt
Filed under: Bombyx mori (domestic silkworm)
Lineage: Eukaryota; Metazoa; Arthropoda; Insecta; Lepidoptera; Bombycidae
Description: piRNA piR-bmo-1450119
Source: RNAcentral